RNAcentral lists this ribosomal RNA (268 nucleotides) under uncultured prokaryote. Its description in RNAcentral is "partial 16S ribosomal RNA". It matches the Rfam family "Bacterial small subunit ribosomal RNA", at positions 524 to 792 of the family's 1533-position model. The record is from RNAcentral.
UACGUAGGUGGCGAGCGUUGUCCGGAUUUACUGGGCGUAAAGGGAGCGUAGGCGGACUUUUAAGUGAGAUGUGAAAUACCCGGGCUCAACUUGGGUGUUGCAUUUCAAACUGGAAGUCUAGAGUGCAGGAGAGGAGAAUGGAAUUCCUAGUGUAGCGGUGAAAUGCGUAGAGAUUAGGAAGAACACCAGUGGCGAAGGCGAUUCUCUGGACUGUAACUGACGCUGAGGCUCGAAAGCGUGGGGAGCAAACAGGAUUAGAUACCCGGUA